AUUGAACGCUGGCGGCAUGCCUUACACAUGCAAGUCGAACGGUAACAGGUCUUCGGAUGCUGACGAGUGGCGAACGGGUGAGUAAUACAUCGGAACGUGCCCGAUCGUGGGGGAUAACGAAGCGAAAGCUUUGCUAAUUCCGCAUACGAUUUACGGAUGAAAGCAGGGGGCCGCAAGGCCUUGCGCGAACGGAGCGGCCGAUGGCAGAUUAGGUAGUUGGUGGGAUAAAAGCUUACCAAGCCGACGAUCUGUAGCUGGUUUGAGAGGACGACCAGCCCCCCUGGGACUGAGACCCGGCCCCGACUCCUUCGGGAGGCAGCAGUGGGGAAUUUUGGACAAUGGGCGAAAGCCUGAUCCAGCCCUGCCGCGUGCAGGAUGAAGGCCUUCGGGUUGUAAACUGCUUUUGUACGGAACGAAAAGACUUUGGUUAAUACCUGGGGUCCCUGACGGUACCGUAAGAAUAAGCCCCGGCUAACUACGUG
Molecule: ribosomal RNA, 482 nt
Filed under: uncultured bacterium
Lineage: Bacteria
Description: bacterial SSU rRNA
Rfam family: Bacterial small subunit ribosomal RNA
Source: RNAcentral